GACGAACGCUGGCGGCGUGCUUAACACAUGCAAGUCGAACGGAAAGGCUCCUGCUUGCAGGGGUACUCGAGUGGCGAACGGGUGAGUAACACGUGGGUGAUCUGCCUUGUACUCUGGGAUAAGCUUGGGAAACUGGGUCUAAUACCGGAUAAUAACUGCCUUUAGUGUGGUGGUUGGAAAGUUUUUUCGGUGCAAGAUGAGCUCGCGGCCUAUCAGCUUGUUGGUGGGGUAAUGGCCUACCAAGGCGUCGACGGGUAGCCGGCCUGAGAGGGUGUACGGCCACAUUGGGACUGAGAUACGGCCCAGACUCCUACGGGAGGCAGCAGUGGGGAAUAUUGCACAAUGGGCGGAAGCCUGAUGCAGCGACGCCGCGUGGGGGAGGACGGCCUUCGGGUUGUAAACCCCUUUCGACAGGGACGAAGCUUUUUGUGACGGUACCUGUAUAAGAAGCACCGGCUAACUACGUG
Molecule: ribosomal RNA, 467 nt
Filed under: uncultured bacterium
Lineage: Bacteria
Description: partial 16S ribosomal RNA
Rfam family: Bacterial small subunit ribosomal RNA
Source: RNAcentral